GCGGGGGCUGGUUCCUGGUCCCCGGGAGAAGCCAAGAAGGGCUUGGAUGAUGGCCUGAGAGAUCAGGAGAACCUAAAAGAAACACUAAACUACACCUGUAUGGGCCACAGCAUUGCGAGUCUACUGGGGAUCCAGGGAUGAAAAAAUAGUUACUGCCCUCAAGAGGUGUACAGCCUAGAGGUAUCGGAAUGGUUUGUGGGUUUGGUUGAAAGCUACAGAGAGGAGAGAGAGCGCAGAAGAAGAAAAAAGGUAUUUUGCCUGAGGACUUGAAGCUCUUUUUUCCCUUUUCCUCCGCUUGACUGACUUUCUCACACUCAGAUUCCCUGCAGCCUGCCAGAGACGUGGUAGCUGCCCUGCCAAGAGCUAUCCUGGGAGGGCCAUUGAAAGAGCCUCCAGUAAGUACACACUGGGUGGAUUUUCUCCUCCCAGGACCUGCUCCGCACCUGUACAGGGAGCCGUCCCCCACGUAUCACCUGAUCUCAGCCCUUUCAGAGACCGUGAGAAAAAUAAAGUCCAGGAGAGAAGAGAUGUUUGUCGUCUCUCCAGGGCUGCAGCCAGCUCCCUGUGGUCUGCGUGCCCAGAAACAGCACAUUCCUCACCGGGUAUGCACGCGUGUCAGCCCGCAUGCAUGCCGGGUGGGGGCACCGGGAAGGAGAGGGAAGCCAGGGGUCACGUGCAUAAUGACUGCCUCUCUGCCUCUGUUUACUGGCAUCCGCCUGACUGGUAGUUUUAUGAUCCUUUACUAGAAGCAUUACUAUGGUCUUCUAGAUAAGACUCCAUAUAUGCUGGUCACAGCAGAAUCCAUAACCAGGAUUUCUUACCUUAAGGUUCAUGGAUGAAUCCCCAGGGGGCCUAUUAAGCUCCUGAAAUAGAAUUCAAAAUUACUUCUCUACACGCGUAUUUAGCAGGAACUUCAUAAAUACUUUUUGAAUAAAUGAACCAAUGCAUCACUUUUUCUUUUUCCUGAGGAGAGGAUUCAUAGCUUUCAGCAGAAUCUCAAAGCUUUUUGUGACCCAAAAUGGUUGAGGAAACUGAUCCAGGCAAUUUCUGCUUACAAGGGGGUACUCUAAGCCCCAGAGAGGGCAAGGGGCUAGCUCAAGGGCCUACAGCACUCCAUGGCCAGAGUGGGGGUCAGAAGCCAGCUCAGAGCUCUUUCCACCACCCCACAGUGCUGGGGUCCUUGAUAAAUUUAGGAUGGGGUUUUGGAGUUGUGGUCACCGCCAGAACCUGGCUUUAAAACAGACAUUAAUAAAGAGACUGUGAAUUUCCAGAACAUUUUUUUCCCUUAAUUCUGAAGCACUUGAGCUGCUCUGCACCCAAGUUUUGGAUGGAGAAAGGGUUAGGCCAGAGAGCCAAGUGUCUACGGAGAGAAGAAGAUUCAGGAAUGCUUGGAGCAAGAGCCCUGGUUGCCAUGCAGAGGCAUUAGACACAACUGCAACUUUGCAUUCCAUCUUUGAUAAAAAUAAGUUGAAGAAAACUGCCUGGUUGGUUUCUGGCUGAGCUGGGACCUUGAAGGGCAAGCUAGGGGUGGCAGUGGAAAACACAAGCUUUUGACAUGGGCUGAUAGCAGCCUGUAAUGCUUUCUGCCACCCCCGUCACUCCCCUUGGAAAACUUGACCAGAACCAGUGAGCCCAAGGGAAUGUGCCUUUUCUAAUGGGCUCUGAAGGAGGAUGGUUGCCAAGAAAGCCUUUCCCAGUGGCGUGGGGGCAGGGCCCUCUGGAAUGGCUUAACUCCCACAUUUGGCUCAGCCACAGCGGCAUUGGUGGGAAGGUUCUAAGUGUGCUUGUAGCUUAACCUUUUCCCCUGUGAGCAGGGCUGCAGGGAAACGAGCCUGCAAGCCCAGGGAUGAAGGAGGCCGUUCCUGAGGGGUUGCAGGCACGCUGGUUUGCACGCUUGUGUGUGAAAGGCUCAGAAUUGCACUGGGGCCUCUGGCAGGCUCAGGAAGGUGGGAUGAAGCCUAGCCCCUUUAAACCCAGGACAUGCAUUUCUUUGCCUUGCAGAUGGCUGCUCCAACUGUGACAUCAGAUCACAUUUCUCAAAAAAAAUAAAAAACAAAACCAAAAAACUCAGCUAGCCAGGAAGACCAUUUGGGUAAAACUUAGGACCUGAAAGUGAUGUGAGAUGAAUUUGUACAACAGACUUUUAAUUAAAAUUGCCAUCAUUGUUAUCCUUCCCUCAUUUCUCAGCUUGUAGAAACGGGGUGAGGGAAGGCGGCGAAGGGACCAAAGAGGGGGCUGAGUUGGUCCAUUCAUUGAAUGCAUGGGAAAACAGCCCAGGAAGAUGUGACUUGCCCAAGGUCAGACAGCCUCCCCAGAGAGGGAAUAGCAAAACCAGAGUUAGGCUCAGGUUUCCUGCCCACUAGUCCAGAAACAGGCCCCACUCUAUCUCUAUAGGAGAAGAACAUUUUGAAAUAUCGUCCACAGGAAGUGACUAACGUUACCACCAAAGAUGGAUUUUCCAGUUGAGGACCAGAGCUGCCUGCUGCCCCUGGAGACAGACCUGGCCUUAAAGACCCCUGCAGCCUCAGGGCCCCUCAAACAUGAGAACAGGCAUGAGGUGCUUCAUCAGCUUGGCGGUUGGUUUGCUGGUAUAUGGCAUAUGGCUCCCUGCAGCUCAGUUCCACAAAUGAUUAUGAGCACGUGGACCUGGUGCACAGACUGCCUGGGGCAGAGUAUCUGCCCUUAAACUGCUGGAGCAAAGUUGAACCAAAGUUCAAAGAACAAAAAUCGAACAAAGAAUUACAGAACUACCCAGUGUCUUACUUCUAAUAUCCUUCGCCGAUAACCGGUGCCUUGUCUCAUCUCUCUAACCCUCAGCCAGCACGUGUAGGACACUUAGUAGGAGCUUGGUGAAUAUUUGCUGAGAGGAUUCGUGAAUGAAUGGCUUGCUCCCCUCUUUGGGAGGAAGCACAGAUGUACCCGUAGCUCAGGGCCUUCCCAGGACUGGCUGGAGCUGUGUGGACGCCGUGGGCUCUGGGUUUUCCUCUUACGAGCUGGGCUGAUUACAACUGUUGGUUGUUGUCACCUGUUAUCAGCUGAAUUGUGUCCUCUGAAAAAAACAUAUUGAAGUUCUAACCCCCGGUACCUUAGGAUGAGACCUUAUUUAGAAAUAAGGAUUAUUAAAGAUUUGUGGCAGGGUUGUUGCAGAUGUAAUUAGCUAAAAUGAGGUCAAACUGGAGUAGGAUGGAGAAGAGACACAGAAGCAGAGACACACAGGGAGAAGGUGGCCGUGCGACCAUGGAAGCAGAGGAUGGACUGAUGCAUCUACAAACCAAGGCACUCUAAAGAAUGCUGGCAAACACCGGAAGCUAGCAGAGGCAAGCCAGGAUUCUCCCCUAUGGGUUUCCGAGGGAGCGUGGCCCAGCUGACUCCUUGAUGUCAGCCUUCCAGACUCCAGAACUGUGAGACCAGAAAUGCCUGUUGUUUUCAGCCCCCCCAGUUUGCGGUACUUUGUUAUGGCAGCUCUGGGAAACUGGUAACCACCCCACCCUCGAUAUUAUGCGUAAAAGGAAAAUCUAUGACCUCUUUUCCUUUAACUUCUGUGAAACGUUCAUGGGAAAAGCUCUUUGGCUUGAACUUACUUUUUGGAAGCGUUAACUAUAGUUUCUCAUCAAAAUAUUUCAUGUAUUUAAAGCUCUAAAAGCUUGGUAUGUUGGGUUAUAUGUGUGGCAUAUAUUCGAUACUGAAACAAACAAAUCAAAAAGCAAACAUCCUCCCCCCAGACAAACAAAAAAAGCUCCCCCCUUAGUCUUCAUCUUUUUUAAGGCUAAUUUGCUGAGAGUAGGCUGCUAAGUUUGACCUGAGAGCUUGCAUACUGUUCAGUGUGACGGUGACUGUUACUUCCCCCUCUAGGAGGGGGCAUGAUUAUCUGGGUUAAAUAUGGUGCAGAGUCAUUGUCCAUCUCUCCACAGAAAUGAUGCCUCUUGCUUCUGCAUAUCUUCCUCUUGCUUUGUUUCAUCGAGCCAUCCUCCUGGGGGCAGAUUUCCAGCUCUGGCUGCUCCUCUGGUGCCCUUGAUCAAGGAAGCAUGGCCCUUCCCCCUCAAUCCUCAAGGAGAUUGAGGAAUUUGUAGGACCCACCUCAUUUCUGGUUAUUGAAUAACUGGCAGGGCAUCGAAUGUCAGGGCUAAGAAAACAGACCAGCCUACCUGUUAAAGCAAAUGACAUCAUAGCCCAGGCAGUUCUCAUGGUGUCGGCUUGCACUGUCUGUCAGCAACUCUUUCAUCACAAGCCCCACUUACAUCAUACUGUUCUGAACACCUAACCUGAUCAUUGUCACUGUGCCUACAACAUGGGUGAGUGACAGCAGCUUAAGGUUCUGAUUAAGGCUGGGCAGUCUUGCAUGAGGGGGAAGGGGUCUUUUUUUUUCAGCCUUAAGAAUGGAAGAUAUCAAUGGGGAAGAAAUGAGGGGCUUAUUGUGUUUUAAUUCAAAAUUCACCAUUAACUUCCCAACCUGGAUUUCCAGCCCACGGCUUCCCUCAGCAGUAGAUGGGGAGAAGGGCAAACCAUUAGCUCCUCCAUCCUUCCCUAAAUCUGGCCUACCUUACUAGGCCUUUCCUGCGGGGAAAAGAAGGUUCUGGCACCAUUUCUCCGGCAUGGGUACCACAGCAGCAACACUUAUGGAACUCUGUGAUCCACAAAUCUUUGAUGUGGAAAACAAUGUUCUCUGGGCUUUGGCGGAUGACCAGAUGGCCUCCUUUAGGUUUUAUUUAUUUGUGGAACUGCUUUUCACCGCUGGUCCUGGAUUCCCAGUUAAUGUCUCUGAAAGAUCACCACGAAGAUGAGAAGAACGAAAAAUGAUCUUGAAGAGUAAGUCAUGGUUUCCUCAAGUUAGAGUUGGGAAAAUUGGGGGGAAACUGAAAGGGAUUUCAUUAUUUUCAGUGAUGUUAAAUUCAUUCAUCUUCUCACUCAUUCAUUGACUUAUUCAUUCAUUCAUUCAACAGACAUUUUCUAAAUGCCCCUAUAGGCCAUGCACUGUGUGAUGUGUUGGGGAAAUAAAGACAAUGUCACAGUUCAUUGAUGCCAGUGUGACUUGUGCCUUAGGAGAUGUCUGUCCAGGGGGCUGAGAGAGUCGUAGGGAAGAAGGGAGCUCAGCCAGUGGCCUGGGGAAGAAGGGAGGGGAGUUUUGUCCUGGGACUAGAAGAGCGAUAUUUUCAAAGCAUAGGCCUUAGACCUCAGAAUUUCCUGGGGGAGUUUGUUAAGAUGCAGAUUCUAGCCUCCCAUUCCAAACCCACUGAGCCAGAGUCUUGGGGAUGGGUCUGGGGAGUCUGCAUGUUGACUCUUAGGUACUAAGUUGGAAAAUGUCUGCUUCAGGAUGCUUUAGGCUGUUGCAUCAAAAAAGAUGUUUCCAAUGAGAGCUGGAGUCAGUGAAUGCAUAAGGAAGGAAGUCUGGCCUUGGGGUAGGGGCUCAGAGCCCCCUAUAUCUAUAAAUUCAUUUUUAACUGAGCCAUUGGCUGUUGUAGGGCUGAGCAAGGGACAGCCUAUGACGUCUUUUUGCAAAAUGUGAUAGAGCCCUAUGUCCCGUAACUGAUUUCGUCUCAAAGCUUCAGGGAUCUCCUUUCUUUUUGUUGUUUCCCCUUGUCUUUUCUAAGGAAAUCGUUUGUAUAGGAGGUUCGAAGACCUCCGUAUGACUCUGAGGACAUCACUGGGGUGAAUGGUUUCUGUUGCCUGUUGCUCAGCCACCUGCUCGGGGAGAGUUAACGUUCUCCUUCGAGGCUUCUUUUGUGGAGGACCUGCUACAGCGCUUGCUCAAGUCUCCAGUACAGUCAUGCUCCACGUAAGGACAUUUCGGUCAACGACAGACUGCAUAUGUGACAGUGGUCCCAUAUGACUAGCAUCAUACAGCCUAGAUGUGUAGGAGGCUAUACUAUCCAGGUUUGUGUAAGUACACUCUGUGAUGUUCGCACAAUGACACAAUCGCCUCAUGAUGCAUUUCUUAGAGCGUAUCCCCGUUGUUAAGCGAUGCAUAACUGUACUUCUAGUCAAGAGGUUAACUGAUAUCUAUUUCAUCAUUCAAUCAUUUAGGAACUAUGGCUCGAGUCCCUGUGACGUUCUUAGUGAAGCAGCUAGACAAAUCAUUACGACUCGCUGGUCUCCUGGCAGGUGACAAGCUACAGUCGAGCCCUGGGAGCAAAAUAGAAAAAGUGGAGGAAUCUGUCUCUUGCCCUCAGGGAGCCCACAGUUGCCCUGAGAUGGCCAAAUGUGUCCAGUCACCUCCAAAGCUCCUAGUUCAAAACAAGGGACAUGCUGCCCACUAGCAACAGUGGGUGUCCUUGUGGGUGGGAGUGAGAUGCCCCCUCCCCAGGGUGAGGCAGUAAGUAUAGCUCUCAAUUUUUGGAACAGAAUGUCAGCUCUGUUGUCUUCCAGGCUGGUAUCUAAAGUAUGAGGAUCUAUGGACAGCUGAUAUAUAUAUACAUAUUAACAAUAAAGUUUAUUUUAUUUCCA
This is a non-coding RNA of Equus caballus (horse), 6441 nucleotides long. The record is from RefSeq and is a predicted model, not a curated record. Lineage: Eukaryota; Metazoa; Chordata; Mammalia; Perissodactyla; Equidae.